Molecule: ribosomal RNA, 253 nt
Filed under: uncultured bacterium
Lineage: Bacteria
Description: partial 16S ribosomal RNA
Rfam family: Bacterial small subunit ribosomal RNA
Source: RNAcentral
GACGAACCGUACGAACGUUAUUCGGAAUCACUGGGCUUAAAGGGUGCGUAGGCUGCGCGGAAAGUUGGGUGUGAAAUCCCUCGGCUCAACCGAGGAACUGCGCCCAAAACUGCCGUGCUCGAGGGAGACAGAGGUGAGCGGAACUUAGGGUGGAGCGGUGAAAUGCGUUGAUAUCCUAAGGAACGCCGGUGGCGAAAGCGGCUCACUGGGUCUCUUCUGACGCUGAGGCACGAAAGCUAGGGUAGCGAACGGG